RNAcentral lists this ribosomal RNA (467 nucleotides) under uncultured bacterium. RNAcentral's name for it is "partial 16S ribosomal RNA". It matches the Rfam family "Bacterial small subunit ribosomal RNA", at positions 29 to 507 of the family's 1533-position model. The record is from RNAcentral.
ACGAACGCUGGCGGCGUGCUUAACACAUGCAAGUCGAACGGAAAGGCCCCGCUUUUGUGGGGUGCUCGAGUGGCGAACGGGUGAGUAACACGUGAGUAACCUGCCCUUGACUUUGGGAUAACUUCAGGAAACUGGGGCUAAUACCGGAUAGGAGCUCCUGCUGCAUGGUGGGGGUUGGAAAGUUUCGGCGGUUGGGGAUGGACUCGCGGCUUAUCAGCUUGUUGGUGGGGUAGUGGCUUACCAAGGCUUUGACGGGUAGCCGGCCUGAGAGGGUGACCGGCCACAUUGGGACUGAGAUACGGCCCAGACUCCUACGGGAGGCAACAGUGGGGAAUAUUGCACAAUGGGCGGAAGCCUGAUGCAGCAACGCCGCGUGCGGGAUGACGGCCUUCGGGUUGUAAACCGCUUUCGCCUGUGACGAAGCGUGAGUGACGGUAAUGGGUAAAGAAGCACCGGCUAACUACGUG